This 21-nucleotide ribosomal RNA is filed under the name Membranoptera platyphylla. RNAcentral describes it as "partial large subunit ribosomal RNA". Lineage: Eukaryota; Rhodophyta; Florideophyceae; Ceramiales; Delesseriaceae. The record is from RNAcentral.
UGGAUCUCAAAUCAGAUAAGG